This 741-nucleotide ribosomal RNA is filed under the name Ochromonas sp. CCMP1393. RNAcentral's name for it is "partial Bacterial small subunit ribosomal RNA". It matches the Rfam family "Bacterial small subunit ribosomal RNA", at positions 1 to 760 of the family's 1533-position model. Lineage: Eukaryota; Chrysophyceae; Chromulinales; Chromulinaceae. The record is from RNAcentral.
ACGGAGAGUUUGAUCCUGGCUCAGGAUGAACGCUGGCGGCGUGCUUAACACAUGCAAGUCGAACGGAAAGGCCCUGCUUUUGUGGGGUGCUCGAGUGGCGAACGGGUGAGUAACACGUGAGUAACCUGCCCUUGACUUUGGGAUAACUUCAGGAAACUGGGGCUAAUACCGGAUAGGAGCUCCUGCUGCAUGGUGGGGGUUGGAAAGUUUCGGCGGUUGGGGAUGGACUCGCGGCUUAUCAGCUUGUUGGUGGGGUAGUGGCUUACCAAGGCUUUGACGGGUAGCCGGCCUGAGAGGGUGACCGGCCACAUUGGGACUGAGAUACGGCCCAGACUCCUACGGGAGGCAGCAGUGGGAAUAUUGCGCAAUGGGCGAAAGCCUGACGCAGCCACGCCGCGUGUGUGAUGAAGGCCCUAGGGUCGUAAAGCACUGUCGGGGGAGAAGAAGUUCUGACGGUAUCCCCCAAGAAAGCACCGGCUAACUCCGUGCCAGCAGCCUCGGUAAUACGGAGGGUGCAAGCGUUGCUCGGAAUCACUGGGCGUAAAGCGUACGCAGGCGGUUUAUCAAGUCGGGUGUGAAAUCCCGGAGCUCAACUCCGGAACUGCGCCCGAAACUGGUAGACUUGAAUACGGGAGAGGUAAGCGGAAUUCCUGGUGUAGAGGUGAAAUUCGUAGAUAUCAGGAGGAACACCAGUGGCGAAAGCGGCUUACUGGCCCGAUAUUGACGCUCAUGUACGAAAGC